UACAGAGGGUGCAAGCGUUAAUCGGAAUUACUGGGCGUAAAGCGUGCGUAGACGGUUAUGUAAGUCAGAUGUGAAAGCCCCGGGCUUAACCUGGGAAUGGCAUUUGAGACUGCAUAGCUAGGGUGCGGAAGAGGGAAGCGGAAUUUCCGGUGUAGCGGUGAAAUGCGUAGAUAUCGGAAGGAACACCAGUGGCGAAAGCGGCUUCCUGGUCCAGCACCGACGUUCAGGCACGAAAGCGUGAGGAGCAAACAGG
RNAcentral lists this ribosomal RNA (253 nucleotides) under uncultured bacterium. Its description in RNAcentral is "partial 16S ribosomal RNA". It matches the Rfam family "Bacterial small subunit ribosomal RNA", at positions 524 to 776 of the family's 1533-position model. The record is from RNAcentral.